ACGCUUAACCAACUGAGCCACCCAGGCACCCCUGGAAGUCAUGUUUCUAUAGCUGUUAUUUUAUGGUUCCCUUCUGUAAUACUACACUCAAAAAGUCCGCAGCCCAGUAACUGACAAAUAUUCACAUAUUAUUUCUUCCAGUUUCUUUAUUCCUUUUUCUUGCUUCAUUCUCAAAUUCUGGGAUUUAUUUUGAUGCAUGUCAUUUGUCUUAUCUCCCUUCUUUAAAUUGAAUACAAUGAAACCCAGAAAGAAUUUUAAUAAACUAUUUACCGACCCAGAGUUCCUCCUGUGAAUAUGUCCCUGGCUAAAUGAGAGGAAAGAAAUGCAGUUUGGAAAUUUCUUUUUCUUCAGCUUAGUGUGUCUGCUACUGAUUACAGACGUAUUCCUUUCUCACACAGCAGCCCCUGGAACCAUUCUGAUAUGAAUGCAGGGACAGCAGUCAGCUACGAGAUAUAACCAGAAAAGCGGUGAAAGCACAUGUUUCUUAAAAUGUGGCUGCUGUUCCUGGGGAAGCGUUUGAAUGUCGUUCUGUCUGCUUGAAUGUGACGCCGUGCGUGUUACUAAUCACGCAUACGUGAUCUCACUUAGUGACUUCAGAUAUUUACCCCGCGUUGCAGGUUUUACAGAUGAAGAAACUGAUGCUCUAAGAGGUUAAAUAACAUUCCCAAGGUCGUAUGGAGAAAAUCACAUUUAAAUUGAUGACCCAUUUGCUGUACUCGCGGAUGGUGUAAGGCUCGUCAAUGAUCCAUAGACACACUUUUGCAGGGGAUUAUAAACUACCAUUUUCCCAAAGUUUUGAUUGGGAAUGAUGCUGAGCUGGGCCCAUGACGUCAUAGCAUUUGCCAAUAUGUAAACAAACAGCGCAAGGAUCAGCUGGUGUCCGCCUAAAAAAAAUAAGCAUUUAAUCUUGUGUGGUGCGACAGAAGGGGUUUAAAAUAUGUAUCUUCGGUGGAUUUUUCAAAGCUGAUGCAGUUGUUCCCGCAAUGUUCUGUGAGAAAAAGAGCAUCUAAAGGAAAAACGGAUGUCGAGCGCUCUGUGCUUUCAAAGGCAAGAGUGUUUCUUGCUAGGUCAGUGGGAUCAGGACGUUUUAGCCUCCUGGGGAGUAAACCUUGAACUGAGUCCGGUUUCUGGUUUUUAUCCUCCUUGAUCCGGGACCCAGACGCUGGUCUGCUCUCCUGCAGGUAGUCUUCUGUUUGUCCCUGUGCUGUGUGGCCAGCCCGGGCAGCGUCAGUGAAGCAGAGGAGUGCGGAGUUGAUGGGAGGACCACGUGAGGACCUCACGGAAACAGACAAUCGUAAGGCCACCCUUCCGCAGUGUGUUCUGUGGGAGGCGCUCUCCAGAGAACCUGUCACCCACGCGCACAGUUACUGCCGCCCUAGCCAGCAUCUCCCAGUUUGAUGAUGGAGGCACACUACCUCCUGCCUUUGCCAGCCCUUAGGAGAGGCUUACGUCCUGCUCCGGGGAGCUCUGGACUGGAGCGGUGGUGAGCUGCAGGUGCACAGAAAGGUGCUACCCACGCCUGCUCCUUCUUCUCUGCUCUUCUUCUAGGCUAUUCCUGUGAGCAACAGGGCUCAAGCCCGUAGGAGACACCACAGAAAAUGCUUUAAAGUUAUCGAACCAAAGGGUGAAACAGUUGAGAUUUUUUUUCCAGCUUUCCAUCUGUCAUUGAUUUGAUGGCUGCUUGCGAGGACAUUAAUUUUCUGGCGCUCUGGCUUGCUCUGCGUGUCGGCCACGUGUGCUCCCUCAGCCAGAAAAAUAAAAAUAGCCCUUAUGUGAUUGCAGUAAGAAAACUUGAUCUUUUAGAGGUGAAUUCUGAGGGGAUACGAACACUGAAACCACAACAUCUACUACGGAGGCACAUACCUGAAAUACGUCUGUCAUAAGACGGAUUCAAGCUGGCGGGCCCGGGUUUGAAUGCUGAUUUGCUACGUAAUCUUGAUUAAAGCUCGUAAAUUUUUAUAGCCUCGGUGUCUUCAUCUAUAAACAAAAACAAAGCCUCCAUUAAAGGACACUUGUACAGAUUAGAUGGGGCUAUGAAUGUAUAGAUUAACACAGAACUAAGCACUUAUGACAGCCUACUGACUAGAAACUUGUUGUUCAGUGAAGUAUUUACUAAGUAUGUACUAUGUGCCAAGCCCGUGGUAGAUGUUAGAGACGGAGAUGAAUAAAACAAAUGCAAAACCUCA
Long non-coding RNA from Felis catus (domestic cat), 2186 nucleotides. RefSeq lists it as uncharacterized. Lineage: Eukaryota; Metazoa; Chordata; Mammalia; Carnivora; Felidae. The transcript is spliced from 7 exons. The record is from RefSeq and is a predicted model, not a curated record.